This 246-nucleotide ribosomal RNA is filed under the name uncultured bacterium. RNAcentral's name for it is "partial 16S ribosomal RNA". It matches the Rfam family "Bacterial small subunit ribosomal RNA", at positions 528 to 773 of the family's 1533-position model. The record is from RNAcentral.
UAGGGGGCAAGCGUUAUCCGGAUUUACUGGGUGUAAAGGGAGCGUAGACGGUUUGGCAAGUCUGAAGUGAAAGGCAUGGGCUUAACCCGUGGACUGCUUUGGAAACUGCAUGACUGGAGUGCAGGAGAGGUAAGUGGAAUUCCUAGUGUAGCGGUGAAAUGCGUAGAUAUUAGGAGGAACACCAGUGGCGAAGGCGGCUUACUGGACUGUAACUGACGUUGAGGCUCGAAAGCGUGGGGAGCAAAC